AAAACCUAAAUCGCAGAAUCCUCUAGCCUCAUCGUGCAUGGGAACGGUCAUCUCGUGAACGGAACCUGACAUGUCACGUUCCGGCUCGCGCAAAUUACAAGCCGGCGUUCAUACGUGCAUUGACAGCUA
Molecule: non-coding RNA, 129 nt
Organism: Bombyx mori (domestic silkworm)
Lineage: Eukaryota; Metazoa; Arthropoda; Insecta; Lepidoptera; Bombycidae
Source: RefSeq, marked provisional